RNAcentral lists this ribosomal RNA (382 nucleotides) under uncultured bacterium. RNAcentral's name for it is "bacterial SSU rRNA". It matches the Rfam family "Bacterial small subunit ribosomal RNA", at positions 29 to 418 of the family's 1533-position model. The record is from RNAcentral.
AUUGAACGCUGGCGGCAGGCCUAACACAUGCAAGUCGCACGCGAAAGUUCCCUUCGGGAUGAGUAGAGUGGCGGACGGGUGAGUAACGCGUAGGAAUCUGUCCCGUAGUGGGGGAUAACCCGGGGAACUCGGGCUAAUACCGCAUACGCCCCACGGGGAAAGCGGGGGAUCUUCGGACCUCGUGCUAGGGGAGGAGCCUGCGUCGGAUUAGCUAGUUGGUAGGGUAAAGGCCUACCAAGGCGACGAUCCGUAGCNGGUCUGAGAGGAUGAUCAGCCACACCGGAACUGAGACACGGUCCGGACUCCUACGGGAGGCAGCAGUGGGAUAUUGCGCAAUGGCGAAAGCCUGACGCAGCCAUGCCGCGUGUGUGAAGAAGGCCUU